UGUCGUAAUGGUAAUUCAACUAGUACGAGAGGAACCGUUGAUUCUGAUAUUUGGUAUUUUCGCUUAGCUGAGAAGCUAGUGGCGAGAAGCUACAAUCAGUAGGAUUAUGACUGAACGCCUCUAAGUCAGAAUCCGUGCCAGAAACGAGAACGUGUGCCCGAUGACGCGAGUAUCGAUAGCUUCGGCCUGUACCGUAUGAUUGCGCAACGGGUCCUCUCUUGAGAAGAGGGGCCUGGUCGCUGAAUAGCAAUUUCAAACAUGGGGCAUGGGAGAUCCUUUGUAGACGACUUAACAAGCAACGGGGUAUUGUAAGCAGUAGAGUAGCCUUGUUGCUACGAUCUGCUGAGAUUAAGCCUUGGUUGU
Molecule: ribosomal RNA, 363 nt
Filed under: Hemiselmis virescens
Lineage: Eukaryota; Cryptophyceae; Cryptomonadales; Hemiselmidaceae
Description: partial Eukaryotic large subunit ribosomal RNA
Rfam family: Eukaryotic large subunit ribosomal RNA
Source: RNAcentral